This 489-nucleotide ribosomal RNA is filed under the name Triticum aestivum (bread wheat). RNAcentral's name for it is "partial small subunit ribosomal RNA". The record is from RNAcentral. Lineage: Eukaryota; Viridiplantae; Streptophyta; Magnoliopsida; Poales; Poaceae.
AUGAAUUAUGCUUAUGGAGAUGAACUUGCUAUAGUUUCUUAUGUUAAAUGUGAAAUUGUUGCUAUUGCACCCACGCAUGAUAGUCCUAUUAUCUUUUUGAAUUCUCUCGACUACACCAUAUCGGAGAAGUUUGUGCUUAUUAAGGAUUAUAUUGAUGGGUUGCGUUUUACUACUACACAUGAUGAUUUUGAUGAAUGUAAUAUGCAUGUGCUUGCUGCUCCUACUUGCAAUUAUUAUGAGAGAGGAACUAUAUCUCCACAUUUCUAUGUUUCCAAUAUGAUAAAAUUGCAAGAAACUGCUUAUACUAUGCAUUGGCCUUUACUAUGUGUGCAUGAAUUGUUCUUUUAUGACAUGCCGAUGCAUAGGAAGAGAGUUAGACUUCGUUGUUGCAUGAUAUAUGUUACUUUGUGCUCACAACUAAAUUACAAAUCAUUGUUAAUUAAAAUUGGCUUUGAUAUACCUUGGGAUCCGGGUGGAUUCAUUACUUGA